This 86-nucleotide transfer RNA is filed under the name Candidatus Peregrinibacteria bacterium. RNAcentral's name for it is "tRNA-Leu". It matches the Rfam family "tRNA". Rfam says of the family: Transfer RNA (tRNA) molecules are approximately 80 nucleotides in length. The record is from RNAcentral. Lineage: Bacteria; Candidatus Peregrinibacteriota.
GCCCAGAUGGCGGAAUGGCAGACGCGCUAGCUUCAGGAGCUAGUGGGAGCAAUCCCGUGGAGGUUCGACUCCUCUUCUGGGCACCA